RNAcentral lists this long non-coding RNA (2674 nucleotides) under Bemisia tabaci. RNAcentral's name for it is "lncRNA ENSSSA2NGG014028". The record is from RNAcentral. Lineage: Eukaryota; Metazoa; Arthropoda; Insecta; Hemiptera; Aleyrodidae.
ACACAUAAAUGAGCCGCCGCUUAACAGCAAGGCAAGACUUGCAGUUUUUCCUCAUUGCAUUUACAUAUUUUGGGCUGAUUAAAGUUACUGUAUACAUUUAUGGUUAGAAUGUAGAUUAGCAAUUAAUAUUGUGACUUUUCAAUUUGAUAUUUCAGGCACAAGGUGUGAAGUUUGUCGAGCGAUUAUCCGCGCAACUGAGAGAACCUUCCCUCAGCUUAAUGCUCAACCAAGACUGCCGAUUUACCUCGGCGGUGAGUGGGUCAGUGGGCACUGUGAGACCAGGCCUCUAGGCACCUUCCUAAAGCGACGACUGCAAGUCAUAGCCAAUACGUCUACCUGGCAAGUUGACUACAGAUUUUACUCUGAUAUGGCUUGCUCUGCUCCGACCCUGACUGCUACUGCUUCCGGAUAUUUUUCAACUGGAUUGCCGUCGAUGGCAGUACAAGGAGGCACGGAGUUCGAUUUUCAUGUCCAAAGGCGUACAUAAUGCUUUUUGAUGAGGGCUUGUGCACACUUUGCAGAAUGACCCACGAUGUGGCACACCUGGAACUUGGCGGACGGGAGUCAUGCACGACCUAGCGCCCUCGAACGGAUGCGUGACUGUGGGAUCGUUGUGCCGACGACGGUGUACGAGCUGGUACGCCUGGAGAUCAACUCCAACGGGAUGCCGCUGCUCUUCAUGGGUCAGCCAGACCAGGAUGACGCCCCUGUGAGUGUCCGACACAGGCCCACCAGCUACCAACCUCCUCUCAUCCAGUGCGCCAGUCAGCUACCCCCUUACACCCACUUCAUCACUGCUAGAUCCAGCUCUAGUCGGCAACAAAUCGCCUGUGCUAUGGUCAUCUUCAGCUCAUCUAUGUAAUAUGCAAUGUAUAAUCGUCGCUCCCAGCGGACGGAUUAAUGGAAUUGAUGGACAAAGCGAUAGACGAAGAAUACAAAAGGAAAUGGAGCGAUCCUAUUGGUUGAGACGUAUGUUUCUGAUAGAACAAGGGAGAUAAUAAUAGACUAACUAUAGGGUCGAAGAAGUUGCUUGAUUGGGUCCUCCUGGGAGGAGACAAAGGGGACGCCAGUGAACACGGGGUUUUAGAAGAAAUGAGGGUUUGCCAACUCCCUGAAGGGCUUUGGGAAGAUAGGGGACUUUGGCGGCUGGGAGUCGCAGACGGCAGAGAGCUCUAUAAAAGCGGCUUUAUACAUACAUACAUACUAUAGGGUCUCUUAUGCGUUGCCGUCAGUUAUUCUAUUUAUUCUUAUAAAUCUUCAACCACUCACUUCAACCGAUAGGGUUGCUCCGCAUCUUCUCUGUCUUCUUUGCAUAUCGCUCUGGCUGUCAGUGUAAAUAAGUGUAAUAAUAAUUGUAAUAAUAAUCAAAAUAAAUUCCCGCAGUCGAAAGAACGUAACUACAUUGCAUUAAUGCAAAUUUUCUAUUCGCAAACUGUACUUUCACUAGUAACUGUUGGGCGUCCCCGACUGACAAUUUCAGAAAUCGAUGGCUAUAAAGAGCAUAAGAGAACGUGUUUCAGUUAGUGAAGUUCCAGACCUUCAAUCAUAUAAUCUUCACUUUGGACGACUUUAUAAAACUAGAACUCUUUCAGUUUUCUUAUCUAUUGGCAGAGUAUUCUGUAUGAGGUUCGAGGUAUGUAGUUGGCUGGUUCCUCCUCGAAAGAAUAAAUAAAAUUGGAAAUUUUGAAACACGGCAACGGAAAUACAUGAUCCUGCUCUGUGGCCAUCCCAGAAUCGGCGAAAUUUCGGACAAAAAUUGCAUGGUCAUAUUCUUGUAAAGAAUUAAUUUUUGAGGUCAAAUUUGCAACCUUUGAAUGGAGGUUGUGAUUUUUUGUAGGAAAUGACGCAAUGUGUAAAAAAAUAAUAAGAUUCAAACUUAACUUAUCUGUGAUAAUAAAUGAACUUCAAUUUUCUAAAAUGUAAUAUUAAGAUUCCUGAUGUAAACUAUAGUUAAGAGAUUUAGAUGUCGGUGGAUUCUCUCAUUCUUACGGGAAAGAACAUUUGAUUUCUCCUACCAGAAAGGUCUGUAUUGCAUUUUAAACAUCUUACGAGGCAGAGAGGAUCACCAACGUAUGCAAAUGUGUCAAGUAGCAAUACUUCAACAACUUAACAUUAUUUUUUUUAACGCAUUAAACGACCUUUCAUACCGGCAGGACUACUAUUUCAAUCCUGAAAGGAUUGAGUACCAGCUUUUUUAUUUUCUCGCUACCCUAGGGUAGAGGAAGUAUUUUUUUCAUUAAUGCUUCUUUCAUACAUUGCUUUCUUAGGUAUUGAAAUGACUGUCCUCAAUGACAGCCAUGCAAAUAGUUAUUUCAGUGUUUUCCUAUGUAAUAUAAGUAUUUUUAGUGAGUGCGGACAAUGAAUUUUAUUUAUUUUUAUAGAGCUAGACAUCUGUGACUAAAUCUUCUAAGCAUCAGAUAUAUAAGUUGUAAAUAAAGUUAUAUCAAAUUCUUUAUGUGAUUAUAAAUUAAAAUUGUUUUAAUUUUCGUAUUUUACUUUUUUCUUUUUAUUUAAUGAUUUAAUGAGGUGAGGUCCACCAGUCUUGAUGAAAAGCCGUAAGGAAACAAAGGUAAACUUUAUAUAUUUGUCAAUUGCUUUGAUAGCAAAAGUGCAGAAAACACAAGUUACCUCCGAAAUGUCUUGUUAAAUUUACCACUUCGAGAUUCUUCCGAGA